GCCCCGCUAAGGCAUCGCCCGAACACCCGACACCCCCAGUGCCGGCGGGCGCGCGGUUCGAAUCCGCGGCGGGGCGC
This 77-nucleotide transfer RNA is filed under the name Streptomyces chryseus. Its description in RNAcentral is "tRNA-Gly". Lineage: Bacteria; Bacillati; Actinomycetota; Actinomycetes; Kitasatosporales; Streptomycetaceae. The record is from RNAcentral.